CGUGAGCAACCUGCCCUUCUCAUCGGAAUAAGCGUUGGAAACGACGUCUAAUGCCGAAUACGACCUCUUUUCGCAUGAUCAGAGGUGGAAAGCUCCGGCGGAGAAGGAUGGGCUCGCGGCCUAUCAGCUUGUUGGUGGGGUAACGGCCCACCAAGGCGACGACGGGUAGCCGGCCUGAGAGGGUGACCGGCCACACUGGGACUGAGACACGGCCCAGACUCCUACGGGAGGCAGCAGUGGGGAAUAUUGGACAAUGGGCGAAAGCCUGAUCCAGCAACGCCGCGUGAGGGAUGACGGCCUUCGGGUUGUAAACCUCUUUCAGCGGGGACGAGCGAAAGUGACGGUACCCGCAGAAGAAGGACCGGCCAACUACGUGCCAGCAGCCGCGGUAAUACGUAGGGUCCGAGCGUUGUCCGGAAUUAUUGGGCGUAAAGGGCUCGUAGGCGGUCUGUCGCGUCGGGAGUGAAAACUCAGGGCUCAACCCUGAGCGUGCUUCCGAUACGGGCAGACUAGAGGUAUGCAGGGGAGAACGGAAUUCCUGGUGUAGCGGUGGAAUGCGCAGAUAUCAGGAGGAACACCGGUGGCGAAGGCGGUUCUCUGGGCAUUACCUGACGCUGAGGAGCGAAAGCAUGGGGAGCGAACAGGAUUAGAUACCCUGGUAGUCCAUGCCGUAAACGUUGGGCGCUAGGUGUGGGGUCCUUCCACGGACUCCGUGCCGCAGCUAACGCAUUAAGCGCCCCGCCUGGGGAGUACGGCCGCAAGGCUAAAACUCAAAGGAAUUGACGGGGGCCCGCACAAGCGGCGGAGCAUGCUGAUUAAUUCGAUGCAACGCGAAGAACCUUACCUGGGUUUGACAUAUACCGGAAAGCUGCAGAGAUGUAGCCCCCUUUUGGUCGGUAUACAGGUGGUGCAUGGCUGUCGCAGCUCGUGUCGUGAGAUGUUGGGUUAAGUCCCGCAACGAGCGCAACCCUCGUCUAUGUUGCCAGCACGUCAUGGUGGGGACUCAUAGGAGACUGCCGGGGUCAACUCGGAGGAAGGUGGGGAUGACGUCAAGUCUUCAUGCCCCUUAUGUCCAGGGCUUCAAGCAUGCUACAAUGGCCGGUACAAAGGGCUGCGAAACCGCAAGGUGGAGCGAAUCCCAAAAAGCCGGUCUCAGUUCGGAUUGGGGUCUGCAACUCGACCCCAUGAAGUCGGAGUCGCUAGUAAUCGCAGAUCAGCAACGCUGCGGUGAAUACGUUCCCGGGCCUUGUACACACCGCCCGUCACGUCAUGAAAGUCGGCAACACCCGAAGCCGGUGGCCCAACCCUUGUGGAGGGAGCCGUCGAAAAGUGGGCC
This 1336-nucleotide ribosomal RNA is filed under the name Aeromicrobium sp. RNAcentral's name for it is "bacterial SSU rRNA". It matches the Rfam family "Bacterial small subunit ribosomal RNA", at positions 116 to 1468 of the family's 1533-position model. Lineage: Bacteria; Bacillati; Actinomycetota; Actinomycetes; Propionibacteriales; Nocardioidaceae. The record is from RNAcentral.